Molecule: long non-coding RNA, 138 nt
Organism: Amblyraja radiata (thorny skate)
Lineage: Eukaryota; Metazoa; Chordata; Chondrichthyes; Rajiformes; Rajidae
Exons: 3
Source: RefSeq, a predicted model, not a curated record
UCGGUCAAUAAGUGUCUGUCUCCUGUGAUGGAGACGGUGAGAUCCAGAAACGGUAGUUAGAUGUUGGAGAUGGUCCAAGUGAAUUUGAGUGCAGGAUGGAUAUUAGACGUGAAGUUGAUGAAGUCAGUGAGUUGCUGC